GGGAUAAUGGAAUAGGACCCUGUCCUCCUAUUUUCAGUUGGUUUUGGCAGCGCGAGGACUAGGGUAAUGAUUAAUAGGGAUAGUUGGGGGCAUUAAUAUUUAAUUGUCAGAGGUGAAAUUCUUGGAUUUAUGAAAGAUUAACUUCUGCGAAAGCAUCUGCCAAGGAUGUUUUCAUUAAUCAAGAACGAAAGUUAGGGGAUCGAAGACGAUCAGAUACCGUCGUAGUCUUAACCAUAAACGAUGCCGACCAGCGAUUAGGAGACGUUGAAUACAAAACACCACCAUCGGUGCGGUCGUCCUUGGCGUCGGUCUUUCGGGGCCGGCGCGGGGGCGGCUUAGCCCGGUGGCACCGGUGAAUGACUCCCCUAGCAGCUUGUGAGAAAUCAUAAGUCUUUGGGUUCCGGGGGGAGUAUGGUCGCAAGGCUGAAACUUAAAGGAAUUGACGGAAGGGCACCACCAGGAGUGGAGCCUGCGGCUUAAUUUGACUCAAC
RNAcentral lists this ribosomal RNA (491 nucleotides) under Acanthamoeba sp. CDC # V025. RNAcentral's name for it is "SSU rRNA". It matches the Rfam family "Eukaryotic small subunit ribosomal RNA", at positions 811 to 1204 of the family's 1831-position model. Lineage: Eukaryota; Discosea; Longamoebia; Acanthamoebidae. The record is from RNAcentral.